This 253-nucleotide ribosomal RNA is filed under the name uncultured bacterium. Its description in RNAcentral is "partial 16S ribosomal RNA". It matches the Rfam family "Bacterial small subunit ribosomal RNA", at positions 524 to 776 of the family's 1533-position model. The record is from RNAcentral.
UACGUAGGGUGCAAGCGUUAAUCGGAAUUACUGGGCGUAAAGCGUGCGCAGGCGGUUAUGUAAGACAGAUGUGAAAUCCCCGGGCUCAACCUGGGAACUGCAUUUGUGACUGCAUAGCUAGAGUACGGUAGAGGGGGAUGGAAUUCCGCGUGUAGCAGUGAAAUGCGUAGAUAUCUGGAGGAAUACCGGUGGCGAAGGCGGCAUCCUGGACCGACAUUGACGCUGAUGAGCGAAAGCUAGGGGAGCAAACGGG